GAUGAACGCUGGCGGCGUGCCUAAUACAUGCAAGUCGAGCGAACAGACGAGGAGCUUGCUCCUCUGACGUUAGCGGCGGACGGGUGAGUAACACGUGGAUAACCUACCUAUAAGACUGGGAUAACUUCGGGAAACCGGAGCUAAUACCGGAUAAUAUAUUGAACCGCAUGGUUCAAUAGUGAAAGACGGUUUUGCUGUCACUUAUAGAUGGAUCCGCGCCGCAUUAGCUAGUUGGUAAGGUAACGGCUUACCAAGGCAACGAUGCGUAGCCGACCUGAGAGGGUGAUCGGCCACACUGGAACUGAGACACGGUCCAGACUCCUACGGGAGGCAGCAGUAGGGAAUCUUCCGCAAUGGGCGAAAGUCUGACGGAGCAACGCCGCGUGAGUGAUGAAGGUCUUCGGAUCGUAAAACUCUGUUAUAGGGAAGAACAAAUGUGUAAGUAACUAUGCACGUCUUGACGGUACCUAAUCAGAAAGCCACGGCUAACUACGUG
Molecule: ribosomal RNA, 496 nt
Filed under: uncultured bacterium
Lineage: Bacteria
Description: partial 16S ribosomal RNA
Rfam family: Bacterial small subunit ribosomal RNA
Source: RNAcentral